GAAACAGGGCAACUCACCGGUUGCCCUUGUUCCCAACCGUGACACCGCCGACUCCUCCUUCUCCACCGCUGUCGCUGCUUCUCAGCCGCACGAUCACCGCCGCACCGCCGUUGCCAGCAUCGCCAGCGGCUCCGGCUGUGGUGCGAUAGAAACAGAGCACCCUAUUUCCCAUCUCCAGCAUCGUAACUUCCCGGCCAGCGACGACGCUCGCUGCCUUUUUCUCCACCGCCA
This 231-nucleotide long non-coding RNA is filed under the name Musa acuminata (dwarf banana). RNAcentral's name for it is "long non-coding RNA (MACU_LNC010316)". The record is from RNAcentral. Lineage: Eukaryota; Viridiplantae; Streptophyta; Magnoliopsida; Zingiberales; Musaceae.